Molecule: ribosomal RNA, 420 nt
Filed under: bacterium enrichment culture clone ALO1_GLFRUDD03GFJ63
Lineage: Bacteria
Description: bacterial SSU rRNA
Rfam family: Bacterial small subunit ribosomal RNA
Source: RNAcentral
GAGUUUGAUCCUGGCUCAGAUUGAACGCUGGCGGCAUGCCUUACACAUGCAAGUCGAACGGCAGCACGGGAGCUUGCUCCUGGUGGCGAGUGGCGAACGGGUGAGUAAUGCAUCGGAACGUAUCCUGGAGUGGGGGAUAACGUAGCGAAAGUUACGCUAAUACCGCAUAUUCUGUGGGCAGGAAAGCGGGGGACCUUCGGGCCUCGCGCUCUUGGAGCGGCCGAUGUCGGAUUAGCUAGUUGGUGAGGUAAAGGCUCACCAAGGCGACGAUCCGUAGCAGGUCUGAGAGGAUGAUCUGCCACACUGGAACUGAGACACGGUCCAGACUCCUACGGGAGGCAGCAGUGGGGAAUUUUGGACAAUGGGGCAACCCUGAUCCAGCCAUGCCGCGUGAGUGAAGAAGGCCUCGGUUGUAAGUAC